Python bivittatus (Burmese python) is the source of this 4819-nucleotide non-coding RNA. The record is from RefSeq and is a predicted model, not a curated record. NCBI's taxonomy places the organism in Eukaryota, Metazoa, Chordata, Lepidosauria, Squamata, Pythonidae.
AAUAUCUGAGAUGAUUUAAAUGAGGACGAAGGCAUUAAUGGCAAUACCAUCAAUAAUGUACUGUACCCAUGACCGAUGUCUUCCUAGAACUUUAUUGAUUGCACCAGAAGUCCAGUAGCCUUCAUUGCAGUUGAACUUGCUUAUAUUUCUGCAUAUUUUGAUUUAUACAUUUCUUUAUAGGAGAUUCCAGAGCUGUCACCCAAUAGCCCUCCUGCAGACAGUCCUGCUUCUCCUCUCAACAAUCAGCUGGGGAACUUUUGCACAGAUGAGACACCCACGGCAUCUCAGGGGCUGUUGAAACUGCUUAGGAUCAAUUUGGAGGAAUCCUCUGGAGAAAAAUUGGCAAAGGAGACAAUGAAAGAAGAAUCUUGGAACAUUCAUUUCUUUGAAUACGGGAGGGGUGUGUGUAUGUACCGCACAGCCAAGACCCGUGAGCUGGUGCAAAAAGGAAUUCCGGAGAAUCUUCGUGGAGAACUGUGGCUCCUCUUUUCAGGGGCCUCAAAUGAGAUGGCCACUCACCCUGGGUACUACAGCGACUUGGUGAAGCAAUCUAUGGGAAAAUAUAGCCUUGCCACUGAGGAAAUUGAAAGAGACCUGCAUCGUUCAAUGCCCGAGCACCCUGCCUUUCACAAUGAACUAGGGUUUGCUGCACUUAGAAGGGUACUAACAGCAUAUGCUUUUCGGAAUCCUACCAUUGGUUACUGCCAGGCCAUGAACAUAGUGACAUCAGUACUACUUCUAUAUUGUAAUGAAGAAGAAGCUUUCUGGCUCCUUGUGGCCCUGUGUGAGAGAAUGCUGCCAGAUUACUAUAACACUAGAGUGGUUGGUGCGCUAGUAGACCAAGGCAUCUUUGAGGAGCUAACACGGGAUUACCUUCCCCAGCUGUCUGAGAAGAUGCAAGAUUUAGGGGUCAUUUCCAGCAUAUCACUAUCUUGGUUCCUCACACUUUUCCUUAGUGUCAUGCCUUUUGCAAGUGCAGUGGUCAUUGUUGACUGUUUCUUCUAUGAAGGCAUAAAGGUCAUCUUGCAGGUAUCCCUGGCCAUCCUGGAGGCCAACAUGGACAAGCUGUUAAAUUGCUGUGAUGAAGGUGAAGCCAUGACUGUCUUGGGCAGGUACCUGGAUAAUGUAAUUAAUCGGCAGAAUAUUUUCUCACGUAUUCCUCACCUCCACGCUUCAUUGACGAGUGGGGAUGAUCCAUCAGUGGAAAUUGAUAUAUUUGAACUUAUAAGAACAGCCUAUGAGAAAUUCAGCCACUUGAAAACAGAUGAUAUUGAACAAAUGCGUUUUAAACAAAGACUGAAGGUAAUCCAUUCUUUAGAAGACACUGCUAAGAGAAGUGUGGUCCGAGCUGUAUCUGGUGACAUUGGCUUUUCUAUGCAAGAAUUAGAAGAUCUUUAUGUAGUAUUUAAGGCAAAACACUUCAUGAGCUGUUACUGGGGAAAUCGCACUUCAGCUGCUCAAAGAGACCAGAGCCUACCCUACUUAGAGCAGUACCGCAUCAACAUCGAGCAGUUCAAAGACUUGUUUGCUUCUCUUACGCCUUGGUCUUGUGGACUCCACACAUCAGUGCUAGCAGAAAGGAUGUUCCGACUUCUGGAUGAAAACAAAGAUGCGCUUAUUAACUUUAAAGAGUUUGCAACAGGCAUGAGUGGAAUGUAUCAUGGCGAUCUGACUGAGAAGCUGAAACUCCUUUACAAACUACAUUUGCCUCCAGCUCUCAGUCCAGAGGAAGCAGAGUCUGCUCUGGAGGCUGCAAGUUACUUCACAGAAGAUAACACUACUGAAGUAUCUCCUUUUGUCUCAGAACUGGAUCUCUUCCUGCAUUGUGAUUCUCAAGAAACAGAUGUUCACGGAGAUAAAUCAGCAAGAGAAGGGGAGUCCAAAGAUCAAGAGAAGGGCACAAGUCCUCAUGAUUACAGAUACCACCUGCGAAUGUGGGCCAAGGAGAAGGAUGCCAGAAAAGAAACGAUCAAAGAUCUCCCUAAAAUGAGUCAGGAACAAUUUAUAGAAUUGUGCAAGACCCUAUAUAACAUGUUCAGUGAAGAUUCUUUGGAGCAAGAACUGUACCAUGCCAUUGCCACUGUUGCAAGCCUUCUCCUACGAAUUGGGGAGGUUGGCAAAAAGUUCUGUCAUCAGCCUGUUAAAAAGGACCCUGUAAGUAAAGAGUCUCCAGCUUCUGAUCAGAGUCAGAGUUCAAUCAUGGAGCAAUAUUCUCAGGCUACUCCAGAAGGCAAAGCUUCUGGGGACAUUCAGGCUGAGAAAAAUCAACAGGAAAAUCAGAUUUUUGUAGACGGAGGAGGUGAAGGUCCAGGAUCUCCCAUACAGCUCUUUUCAGAUGACGAAACUAAAGAUGAUAUGUCUAUGUCUUCAUAUUCUAUGGUUAGCACAGGCUCCUUACAGUGUGAAGAUAUUGCAGAUGAUACGGUUCUGGUUGGUUGUGAGGCAGGCAGCUCAGCUGCACGAUGUGGCAGCACCAUUGAUACAGACUGGUCCAUCUCCUUUGAACACAUUUUAGCCUCUAUCCUUACAGAGUCAGUCCUAGUAAACUACUUUGAGAAGAAAACCGAUGUAACGCAGAAGAUCAAGGAACAAAGGAAAAUUGAAAGGCAAUUCAGUUCAUCCAGUGAUUAUGAACUCUCCUCAGUAUCAGGCUGAACGUGGGGAAUAAGCAAAGCUUGGGCAAGAGGCAGAAGAUCUAGGAACCUGAUGGAUGGGUGGAUGUUUGUUUUGGUUUUUUACCAACAUCAAUAACUAUGCAUUAAUUAAAGAAACUUCAGCUGAAUAAGGAGUUUAUCAUAGUGCUCUUUGAUAUAUACACCUCCCUGGAGGACACCUUGCUUGCUGAAAUAAUAUUACAUUCUUAAAAGCAUGAAAGCACAGAACCCAAUAGCCUCUGUGGCUUAAAAUUAUUAGAGUAAAUUAUGCAUGUGUGCCUCUGCCUGUCUUUUUUAAUGCAGCUUAAUUUUAGUCACACUAUGCUAUACCUCCCUUUGCUCUGGGUUUCUUGGUAAUUAUUUAGAAGUGCAGCCUUGCUUUAUAUCUUUUCGCUGCUUCCCUGUGUCCUAACACAAUGUGUCAUAAUGCUGUAGAGAUCUCUAGCCUGCCUAAGUAAGCUCUGCUAGGAACUGAUAAUGCAGUGGAACUUGUUAAAUGUAAAGAUGUUGUAUUCUCUUACUCUUGGCAUCCUGCAACUCAAAAUGCACCAGUGUCUUGGGACAGCUGGUUUCUAUCCCAAGUGAUUCACUCAUGUUAAUUAGUACAGUAUGUAACUUUCAAAACUCGAAAGACAGAUGUUUACUAAUAUCUUUUAGCCCUAUUUUAACUCUUCAGUGCCAUGUUCAUUUUAAUUUUCCUGAAAGAAAGGAGUGUAAUAGCCAUGGAGAAUGAAGCAGAGCGAAUAGAAUACCUGUUCUGUUUCAGGGUAACAGCAGACACAGUUGCUAAAGAGCAGAAGCAGAUAACAGCAGACAGGUUGUAAAGCAAAGACUUAGCAAAGCACAUUUGCCUAAAAAGUACCGUUUGCAGUCUGGGUAGCAAAAGAGUAGUCUAGUUACAUUGCAAAAAGUCGCAAAGCUAAAUCAGGUAGUCAGCCAAUUCAGAAGUCAGGAACAUAAGUCACAAGCUAGGAAUUCCAAAUGGUUGUUUCCAGCAGAGACCAAACCAAAGCAGCUACAUAAAUCUUUCUGCCAGCAGCUGUCUGCAAUCACUCAGGCCUUGCUCUUUGCCUUGCGAGGAGUCUCAUUGAUUGACCUGCUUUGCUUGCAGCUGCAUGUGUCUGGAUCUGGGGUUUGGGGCCGUGCCUCAUCAUCCAACUGCUCCAGCUGAUCAGGAGAUGCCUGUGGCUGAUCAGCUUCAGAUGUAUCAUGGCUUAAUGAUUCCUGAGGCUGACAUUCCACAGGCUCAGCUGGAACAACAUUGUCAGAGUCAUGCUCUGAAUCAUGGCUUAUAAUACCACAGUCCUGAGGUCACAGGAUGCAAAAGACUUAACUGUUUGUCUUUAGAUCAUUUUAUUGUUUCUUCAUAAUUUGAGAUAGUACAUAGCCUGAGCUCGUAACCUACAAGCCAGUUAUCUUUGAGUAUUUGUAUAAUUGGAAAGUCUGCUUAAGUCAUGUUUUUCUGUGUGAUCUGAAGUAGGUCUAAAUAAUUUUUUUGUUUGUAAAUACAUUCAUGGGAAAUGUAAAUGUAAAUGCAUAACUUACUGGCUGUGUGGUAGCCCAAAUGUUGUACAUCAUUUGAAUUGCAGUACAAGAAUAAGAUUCCAACUGUGUAUGUAAUGUAUGUUAACAGGUGAAGUUUAGAUCACCUUGUGUUCUGGUAGCAUAGUAUAAGUAUUCAGAUACAAGAUCUGUCCUCUACAAAAUCACUUGUGGACUGGAAGAAAAUUGGAACUCCAUUUUGGAUUGAUAGCUUCCCUAUGGGAAGGCAUUCACUCUCAAGAAGCACUAUUUGUUUAUAUUUGUAUACAUACUCUGUACACAAAUUGCAUGAGUUAAAUUGAAAUUGUAUAAAUGCUAGUGUAUGGUAAUUGCUGGACCAGUCAUUAGUGCAGUCACAUUGGCUGUUCAGAAGGAGGAAAAUCUAAAGAUCUUGAGCGUAUGUAUACAUGGAAUACACCACUUGGUGCAAUACCCAGUGUUAGUCUGAUUUUGUGGCAUAUUCUGUAUAUUUAAAUCUCAAACUUCAUAUUCAUGCAUCUGAAAGCAGACAAUGACAUUAGCUUUUACUAAUGCUUCAAUAAUUUAUUAUCUUUUUAAAUAUAUAUAUAUGUAAUUUUACAUUGUUUUUGUCUGAUCAAUCAUGUAUAUAUUCAAUAAAUGAA